UACGUAGGGUGCAAGCGUUAAUCGGAAUUACUGGGCGUAAAGCGUGCGCAGGCGGUUAUGCAAGACAGAUGUGAAAUCCCCGGGCUCAACCUGGGAACUGCAUUUGUGACUGCAUGGCUGGAGUGCGGCAGAGGGGGAUGGAAUUCCGCGUGUAGCAGUGAAAUGCGUAGAGAUGCGGAGGAACACCGAUGGCGAAGGCAGCCCCCUGGGCUAGCACUGACGCUCAGGCACGAAAGCGUGGGGAGCAAACAGG
This 253-nucleotide ribosomal RNA is filed under the name uncultured bacterium. RNAcentral describes it as "partial 16S ribosomal RNA". It matches the Rfam family "Bacterial small subunit ribosomal RNA", at positions 524 to 776 of the family's 1533-position model. The record is from RNAcentral.